AAAUAAGGGAAAGUAAGAUGUGGUGUUUUAUGGACAGCAGGCAAAACAAGCUAGCCGUGUGCCUUUGAGAGGACUCUGGAAUCAGAGAUCAUAUACCCAAGCGCUUUUGUUACCUGAGGUCUUCAAGCUUCACAUCCAGGAUCUAUCUGCCUCUGUGGAGAAAAGGAGAGAAGUGGUCCUGAGAUGCCUGAUUGAGUACAUGGGGGAGAGACAGGAAGACCUCAUCAGUGUCCACCACAGUCGUGAUGAAACAGAGGUGCACGCUGAGCUUGGCAGUUACCCACUGAAAAUGUACAUGUGCCAUCAGCCCGACACGAUUGGGAUUAUCAUAGAAGGACAGCCCGUGGUCAGAGGUGUGCCAAACCUGUCGAAAGCAUGCUGCCUCCUGUUUGGACUUGCCUAUGCCCUCAACCUCAAGUAUCCCUCAAAACUGGUGUAUACUUUUGAGAUAUAUCAGAGGCUCUUUGUGGGAUUGGACCCCAUGCGUCCUAAGCCAUCAUCCAAGUAUGAAACUCAAGUGUUUGUUUUAUAUUAUUGUGUACAUGACG
Sinocyclocheilus grahami is the source of this 548-nucleotide long non-coding RNA. RefSeq lists it as uncharacterized. The record is from RefSeq and is a predicted model, not a curated record. The transcript has 4 exons. Lineage: Eukaryota; Metazoa; Chordata; Actinopteri; Cypriniformes; Cyprinidae.